This 2182-nucleotide long non-coding RNA is filed under the name Oreochromis niloticus (Nile tilapia). RNAcentral describes it as "lncRNA (ENSONIG00000036626.1)". The record is from RNAcentral. Lineage: Eukaryota; Metazoa; Chordata; Actinopteri; Cichliformes; Cichlidae.
UUUUUUUCCCAAGAAGUGUUUGAAGAACCCACAAGAGCCUGGGAAUGGCUGGGGGUGAGCUAGGCCUAGAUGGCAGACGGCACCUGUGAGGGAACCUCAAACCUGAGGGGUAUUCUAUUUUCCCAGUCAACUGGUAUGUGUGAGGGGAAAGAGGGAGACAGCGCCUCAGUAACCUUGACUGGAGACAAGCAGGAGACACAUGCGUGUCUGGAUCGACUUCGCCUGUGAUGGCUGUUAGCUAGCUUUCCUCCAGAAGCUGAGCUGAGCUGCCUGCUUGCCUGGCUGGCUGGCUGCUGAUGUGCUAUUACUCGCUUUGGAAGAGUUGCUUGUGUGGAGGAUGACACAUUAUUAUCCUUUAAUCUCAGUCUCAGCUUGUUGAGCAUCAAAUUGAAAUAUCCUGAACAGAUGUAAAAACACAUGUGAGCCUCAGCGCGCAAGCUGUGCUGCGCUUUGUUUCAUCUAUCCGUGAUGUGAGCCUUAAGGAGAAGCUUUUUAAAAUUUCAUCACUAUUCAAAAGGAUAAUUAAUACGUACCCCCAGGCUUUGAUUAUGCGAUACCCAGUGUGUAGCUGGGUGUUGCCAUAAUGAGCCACUCAUCAGUACUCUGCCUGUGCCUCCCCAACAAACAUACAGCUUGCAUAAGGUACUUAAGAUUCUACUAAGGUGCCAUCAUGCUUGGGUGCACGUGUGUGUGUGUAUGCGUGCUUAUAUGUGUAUGCACCUGUGUAGGGGCUUGUAUGUGUGCUUGCAUGCGUGGUGUGAGUCCCCUUCUAAUUUGCAGCACAAUGCUAUAGGUUAGAUCACGCUGGUUGCUGCAGUUUGUUUACAACAGGACCCCUGUCAGAUUGUCAGCAGAAAGCUGGGCCCUUUCUAGAAAUCCUGCCACUGCCUACACACACACACUCUUACACACACUCCCCCCCUGGACACACACACACUACCUCUCCCCUGCUUGUUCCCAGUCUAAAACCUUGGGAGGAGAUCGUGGUUGUCAGUGAGUGGGUGCUUAGGUGAUGCAGCGGCAAGAUGGACAGGCAGGUGGAGACUGACAGGCCGUGGAAUACGAAGGGGAAUAUUGGGAGUUCAGACAUAAUGAGACCUGUCAAUUUGAAUGCCUCAAGGCUAAGCAGUGAGCCGGCUAUGGCUGACAACUGAGGCAGCCAUUUCUACUCGAGAAAAAAUAUUUCAGGGUAAUCUCUCACCCUUGACCCUGACCAGUCUCUAAACAGCACCGUUACAGCACCAAUUACAUGUCCGAUGAACGAAAUCACGACUUCCACUAAACACACCAUAGUGUGAUGCCGCUGAAAAUAUAAAGCUGUGUUUAUCACUAUGACCUUCUUAUUUGAAGGGUCUGUAUUUAAAAAAUAAAAAAGCAUUAAUGUCAGCUCUUUUUUGUUGUUGUUUAUCAUUGAGGGCGCAUAUGUCCUACUGAGACUGCCCUUUCUGCCUGACAGAUAAUAGGACAUCACUGUGAGAGGGUUGGAAUUUCCACUGACUUCCUAUUCCUGAUACAACAUGCUGCUUCUGCUUAGAUAUAUUCAGGCCUCUUUGCCCAAAGUUGUGGGGUAUAUGGGGAAUAGAAAGUGUCAUUAGAGAUUUGCCCGUGGCUACAUAUAGCCUGUGAUGGUGCUUUAGCCUCUUUAGAAUUUAGCAUGUUCACCGAGCGCUGAAGUGACACGCAAGAGGGGCACUGGGACCUGCUGACAGCAGGCGGACCUACGUAACUUUCCUGUCCUUAAAUCCAAUUUUGUGCUUGACACGGAGCGGUAUUAGCUUUGGACAGGUGAGUGAUAAGUUCUGUGGGUGCAUUCGCCACAUAGAUAUAAGCUGUCUCGCACAGGAACCGUUAGUUUUUCCCACAUCAAGUCACCCGCAAGCUCAAAUUGAGCUAUAGAGGGUAUGGUAAUUACAACCAGUGCUAAGGAAGUCUUUGAUGAAGCAGACAAGCAGUGGUGUGUACGCUAAGAGAUGAUUUUAUCAAUUACUAAUCAAUAAUCCUCUCGCAGCUUAAAGCAGAUGAAAUAUACAUUUGCCCCUGUAGAUUAUAGCGCUGAAAAAAAUCGUUACAUUCGGCACUGCUGCCUGUUUUCAGGGUUACUGCUUUAUUGACUUGUGUAAAUGAUCGUGCACCUGGGAGAAGGCUGGAUUAUGAAAGGAUAAAUAAUGAAAAAGGAAACAAU